Molecule: ribosomal RNA, 389 nt
Filed under: uncultured bacterium
Lineage: Bacteria
Description: bacterial SSU rRNA
Rfam family: Bacterial small subunit ribosomal RNA
Source: RNAcentral
AUUGAACGCUGGCGGCAUGCCUUACACAUGCAAGUCGAACGGCAGCACGGGAGCAAUCCUGGUGGCGAGUGGCGAACGGGUGAGUAAUACAUCGGAACGUGCCCAGUAGUGGGGGAUAACCCGGCGAAAGCCGGACUAAUACCGCAUACGACCUACGGGUGAAAGCAGGGGAUCGCAAGACCUUGCGCUAUUGGAGCGGCCGAUGGCAGAUUAGCUAGNGGUGGGGUAAAGGCCUACCAAGGCGACGAUCUGUAGCUGGUCUGAGAGGACGACCAGCCACACUGGGACUGAGACACGGCCCAGACUCCUACGGGAGGCAGCAGUGGGGAAUUUUGGACAAUGGGCGCAAGCCUGAUCCAGCCAUGCCGCGUGCGGGAAGAAGGCCUCGG